RNAcentral lists this long non-coding RNA (4691 nucleotides) under Sus scrofa (pig). RNAcentral's name for it is "lncRNA (ENSSSCG00060028646.1)". The record is from RNAcentral. Lineage: Eukaryota; Metazoa; Chordata; Mammalia; Artiodactyla; Suidae.
AACUUUCUAUUUUGCUUUUAUUGACGUAUAGUUGAUUUACAAUAUUGUGUUAGUUUUAGGGAUCCAGCAGUGACUCUGUUUUAUAUAUACACACACAAACAUACAUGUAUAAUUUUCAGAUUAUUUUCCCUUACAGGUUAUUACAAGAUAGUGAAUAUAACCCCCUGUGCUGUACAGUAGGUCCUUGUCCUUUAUCUGUUUUACGAAAAGUAGUGUGUGCCUGCCAGUCCCCAAUUCUCCAUCUAGCCCUCCCCUGCCCCCUCCCGCUUGGCAACCCUAAGUUUGCCCUUGAAAUCUAAGAGUCUAUCUCUGAUCUCAAACAAGUUCAUCUGCAUCAUCCUUCAAGAUUCCACACACACAGGAGUUCCUGCUGGGGCACAACAGCAUUGGCGGCAUCUCUGCAGCACCAGGACACAGGUUCGAUCCCUGGCCCAGCGCAGCGGGUUAAAGGUUCUGAGGUUGCUGCAGCUGCAGCAUGGGUCACAACUGUGGCUUGGAUCUGAUCCCUGAUCCAGGAACCCAUAUGCUGUGGGGCAGCCAAAAAAAAAAAAAAAAAAAAAGACGAAAGAUUCCACACACUGAUGCCACAUGAGAUCUGUCUUUCUCCGUCCGACCCACUCCACCUCCUUCUCUUCCAUGGCCGAGCAGCCCUCGACUGCAGUUACAUACACCGCGUCUUCUCCAUCCACCUCUCUGCCAAUGGACACCUAGGGUGCCCCCGCACCUUGGCUACUACAGUGCUUCUAUAAACACUGGGGUGCACACAUCCCUUCAAACUAGAGUUUUGGUCUUUUCUAGAUAGAAGCCUAGGAGUGGGACUGCUGGACCACAGCUCUACCUCCGGGUUUUAAGGAUGCUCCACACUGUUCUGCGCAUGGCUUCACUGCAGCCUGGUGUCCGUGCAUGUUGGCAUCAUUACAUGUUGGGAAAGUGGACCCAGUUCAGCCCAGUAGCUCGCUCAGCAGACAAGUUCUCCUUCUGCCCUUUCAGUACCGCCUGUAGACGGGGGAUUCGUGGCUUUCCUUCUCUCUGUUUCUUCAAGGCUGGCCUUCUGGGUCUUUGGCCAGUCCUCUGGGUACCGGCACAUUAUCAAAUAUGUGAUUGACAAGGAUUUCCUGUCUGUGGCACGUCUUUCAUUUUUCUUGACAAUGCCUUUUGAAGAGGACAAGUUUUUUUUUGUUGUUGUUGUUGUUUUUUCUUUUUACGGAUGCACCUGCGACAUAUGGAAGUUCCCGGGCUAGGAGUCAAAUCUGAGCCUCAUCUGCAAACUAUGCCACAAUUUGCAGCAAUGCUGGAUCCUUAACCCACUGAGAGAGGCCAGGGAUGGAACCUGCAUCCUCAUGACACUAUAUCAGGUUCUUAACCGCUGAGCCAGGAGGGAAACCCUGGUUUUUUUUGUUUUUGUUUUUGUUUUUGUUUUUUUGGCUUUGUCUUGUUUUGUUGUUGUUGUUGUUUUUAAUGGCCGCACCUGUGAUGUAUAGAAGAUAUGGCAGUUCCCAGGUCAGGGAUCGAACCUGAGCUGCACCUGUGACUUGCGCCACAGCUUUGGCAACGCCAGAUCCUUAACCCACUGCAUCAGGCCGGGACCAAAUCAGCACCUCACGACGACCUGAGUUGCUGCAGAGAUGGCAUCGAAUCCUUAGCCUGCUGGACCACAGUGGGAACUCCAAAGAGGACCAGGUUUAAUGUCGAUGAGGUCCGACGUGUCCAUUUUUUUCCUUUUAUGGUUCACAUGUGUCAAAUCUAUGAAAUCUUUGCCGAACUCAAGCCAGGGUCACAAAGAUUUUCUUCUUGUCUUCUUCUAAGCGUUCUAUAGUACUAGGUUUUACAUUCAGGUCAAUGAUCAGUUUGAGCUAAUUUUUGAAUAUCGUGCAAGGUAUAGAUCAAGGCAGUGUUUUGCUUUGGGGUUUUGGGAUUUUGUUUGUGGUUUUUUGCACAUGAGUAUCCAGUUGCUCCAGCACAUUUGCUGAAAAGAUGAGCCCCAUGAAGGUCUUCGUAGCAGACCUCUGGGAUUCACCACCCUGCAAUCAGCCUUCCCCACACCCAGAGAGGGGUUUUCCAGCAAGUUCCAGAGGGCAGGUUUCCUCCAAUUCUGCAGACACCACAGUGGCUUCUCUGCCAUCCUGUGAGCCACAGCUGUACCCUCCCAACAGGAUCUCAGCCUGGGAGUGGGACUCCAGCUCAGCCCCACAGGGUACACCUUGUGUCUGCUCUUCAUGCCAACCCCCUGGUCCAGUCAGUAAUUCUUACAGUAAAAUUUCCUAGUUCAAACUGCCAUGUGUGCUCUUGGAUUGGAGGAAUUAAUAUUGUUAAAAUGGCCACAUCACCCAAAGUAAUCUACAGGUUUAAUGCAAUCCCCCUAUCGAGUUACCCAAGAUACUUCAUGGAACUAGAACAAAUAAUCCUGAAAUGGAAGCAUAAAAGACCCCAAAGUGCCAAAGCACAUCCACAGGAAAAAGGACAAAAGCUGGCAGCAUAACCUCCCAGACUUCAGCCAAUACUACAAAGCUACAGUAAACAAAAUAGCAUGGUAUUGGCAUAAAAACAAAUGUGGGAGUUCCCUUUGUGGCUCAACAGAAACGAAUCUGACUAGGAACCAUAAGGCUGUGGGUUCGAUCCCUGACCUCGCUCAGCGGGUUAAGGCUCUGACAUUGCUGUGACCUGUGGUGCAGGUCAAAGAGGCAGCAGAUCCGGCCUUGCCGUGGCUGUGAUAUAGACCAGCAGCUGUAGCUCUGAUUUGACCCCUAGCCUGGGAACCUCCAUAUGCCGCAGCUGCCUGCUAAGGUGUGUGGUCCAGGAGGAGGGGAUGAAGGAGAGAGCAGUCUUCUAAGUGAGCUGUGGAGAAGGCCAUUGCGAGGCUCUGCGUCGCCAGUGGCUGUGGGCUCUGGGGUGCAAGGAAGGGCCUCUGGCACCUUGACCCCUGCCCACUGUGGAGUGGAGAUUGUGAUGAAGAAGCAUCAGGCCAGCCUGCCAAUGAAGCGGAACACGUGACACCACUUAGUGCUGGGAGCCCGGGUGGUGGGGCUGGAGUCCACUGUUGGGCUUGGAAGAGUGGCAUCUUGACCUGGAGGGGUGUCAGCCUCACGGGGCAAGGCACGGCCGCAGCACUGAGAGGGUCCAAGUCUGAUGGAGUCUGCAUGCCAGGCUCGGGAUCAAACUCUGUGCAAAGGGCCCCCGAGCCUGACUGUGAGAGGAAUCCUGCCCAUCAGUGGGGCAGAAGUCCCAUCCGGCAUGCAGUGGUCAGUGCUCCAUCAGAAAUACCAAGUCCAUUCCGUGUGCCCCUCUGUCAUGCUGGGCAUCACCGUGGCAAUGCUGGGAUGGGUCCAGGUGGAGCCUGGGAGGGGAAGAUGGUGGACUCUGGUCCCAAAGAACCAACUUACCAGGUGUUGGAACUCAAGCUUCUUCUCCACUAAAAAGGGAUGGGGUGUGGUUGGUUGCCCCAAUCGUUGCUGCGGGAAUCCUUUGUUUUUGCAGCUGUCCCCGUAGGUGUCUAAGGUGGUGAUGUUCCUGUGAAGCUCUAACAAGACAACUGUUGUUUCCUGUUCUGCAACUUUUUAUCUCAAGGUGAAAGGGGAAAGUGUUACACCCUUAAAGGUAGGAGCCUUGAGAAUGAGCCCUCCUGUAUAUUUCAGGCUGUUGGCAACAUUCCUUUCUUGAUUAAUUUGUAGCCAAAGCAAUAGGCUACAAGGUUAAAGUAAAAGAAACAGAUCCAAUGUGGAUUCAGAUCUGUUCUUCCUUACUCUAUCAGGACCCCAAAGAGGGGUGUCUUUAAUGUGUAAUUUUCCAAGUGGCAGGCUGCCUUGGUUCCCUAUGGGUGCUGUAAAGAAAAGGUGCAGACUCCGUGGCUUUAGACAAAAGAGAUCUAUGCUCCAGCUCUGGAGGCCAGAAGUCCGAAAGCCAGGUGUCAGCAGGGCAGCACCCCCUCCGAAGUGGCUCCAGGGGUGAGAGCUUCCCUGACCCUCCCAGCCUCUGGUUGCCGGCUAUCCUUGGGCUUCCUUGGCUUGCCGUGUGACACUCCGAACUCUGCCUCUGUCAGCACGUGCCCCAUCCCCGUCUCCUUCCUCUGGUUUUGUGUCUUCAAACACCCUCUUUGCAAAGCGGCCGCAUUUGAAGCUCUGGGUGAAUGUGAACCUCGGGGUCACCAUCCAACCCCAUACACAGACCCAACAGCUCCCUCCUCGGAAACAGCCCAAGAGUCAGUGAACAUACAGCAGGUUUUAUCAAGGGACCGUAAAAUAGAAAUAGAAGUGUGUUUAUCUCUCACGUAGCCCGCGGAGGGUCGGCAUCCGAGGGCGAUCGGAGACCCCCUUGGAGACGUUCUCUGGGCGCACGUCUCGGGAUGUGGUUUCUGUCUUGCAGUCCCAAACGGCUGCUCCGGCUCCAAACAUCACCUCCACUCUCCCCCAAGAAGGAAGAGCAAAAGGGACCCGAAGAGCAUGACUUUCCCUUUAAAGAGAGGACCUAGAGCAGCUUACCUCUUCUGCUCACACCCCAUUGGCCGGAUCUCAGUCGCAUGCUCUUGCUGCAAAGCGUGCUGGGAAAUGUAGUCUUUUUCUGCACCAAGCGACCCCAGAGGUCUGGAACUUGUCAGUCUCGGGCACAAGCAUGUCGUGAGGAAAAUGGGGAAAAGGAGACCUGGGCCCUGGGCAGAUGGCCUUCCAGGCACAGCUCAUCCCACGGCUCCAGACCCC